CGUAGGUGCAAGCGUUAAUCGGAAUUACUGGGCGUAAAGCGUGCGCAGGCGGUUAUAUAAGUCAGAUGUGAAAUCCCCGGGCUCAACCUGGGAACUGCAUUUGAGACUGUAUGGCUAGAGUGUGUCAGAGGGGGUAGAAUUCCACGUGUAGCAGUGAAAUGCGUAGAUAUGUGGAGGAAUACCGAUGGCGAAGGCAGCCCCUGGGAUAACACUGACGCUCAUGCACGAAAGCGUGGGGAGCAAACAGGAUU
RNAcentral lists this ribosomal RNA (251 nucleotides) under uncultured bacterium. RNAcentral's name for it is "partial 16S ribosomal RNA". It matches the Rfam family "Bacterial small subunit ribosomal RNA", at positions 526 to 779 of the family's 1533-position model. The record is from RNAcentral.